Molecule: non-coding RNA, 47 nt
Filed under: unclassified sequences
Description: DUF3800-VI RNA
Rfam family: DUF3800-VI RNA
About the family: Actinobacteria, Planctomycetes, Proteobacteria, Spirochaetes. Nearby to DUF3800
Source: RNAcentral
GUUGAGAGAGCCGCCUUUUUUCGGUUCGUUGGGAAACCACUCGGCUG